GAUCCUGGCUCAGGAUGAACGCUAGCUACAGGCUUAACACAUGCAAGUCGAGGGGCAUCAGUUUGGUUGCUUGCAAACCAAGCUGGCGACCGGCGCACGGGUGAGUAACACGUAUCCAACCUGCCUCAUACUCGGGGAUAGCCUUUCGAAAGAAAGAUUAAUAUCCGAUAGCAUAUAUUUCCCGCCAUGGGGUUUUAUAUUAAAGAAAUUCGGUAUGAGAUGGGAUGCGUUCCAUUAGUUGUUGGCGGGGUAACGGCCCACCAAGACUACGAUGGAUAGGGGUUCUGAGAGGAAGGUCCCCCACAUUGGAACUGAGACACGGUCCAAACUCCUACGGGAGGCAGCAGUGAGGAAUAUUGGUCAAUGGACGCGAGUCUGAACCAGCCAAGUAGCGUGAAGGAUGACUGCCCUAUGGGUUGUAAACUUCUUUUAUAUGGGAAUAAAGUGGUCCACGUGUGGAUUUUUGUAUGUACCAUAUGAAUAAGGAUCGGCUAACUCCGUG
This 502-nucleotide ribosomal RNA is filed under the name uncultured bacterium. RNAcentral describes it as "bacterial SSU rRNA". It matches the Rfam family "Bacterial small subunit ribosomal RNA", at positions 15 to 507 of the family's 1533-position model. The record is from RNAcentral.